RNAcentral lists this ribosomal RNA (253 nucleotides) under uncultured bacterium. Its description in RNAcentral is "partial 16S ribosomal RNA". It matches the Rfam family "Bacterial small subunit ribosomal RNA", at positions 524 to 776 of the family's 1533-position model. The record is from RNAcentral.
UACGAAGGGGGCUAGCGUUGCUCGGAAUUACUGGGCGUAAAGCGCACGUAGGCGGAUUGUUAAGUCAGGGGUGAAAUCCUGGAGCUCAACUCCAGAACUGCCCUUGAUACUGAAGGUCUUGAGUUCGGGAGAGGUGAGUGGAACUGCGAGUGUAGAGGUGAAAUUCGUAGAUAUUCGCAAGAACACCAGUGGCGAAGGCGGCUCACUGGCCCGAUACUGACGCUGAUGCACGAAAGCGUGGGGAGCAAACAGG